UGGAAACAGGGAGUGCCUUCGGGAGCUUGAGCAGGUGCUGCGUGGCUGUCGUCAGCUCGUGCCGUGAGGUGUCGGGUUAAGUCCCAUAACGAGCGCAACCCUUACCGUUAGUUACCAUCAGGUUAAGCUGGGGACUCUAGCGGGACUGCACCGUAAGGUGAGAGGAAGGUGGGGAUGACGUCAAAUCAGCACGGCCCUUAUGUCCAGGGCUACACACGUGUUACAAUGGCCAGUACAAAGGGCAGCUACCGGGUGACCGGAUGCUAAUCUCUAAAGCUGGUCUCAGUUCGGAUCGAAGUCUGCAACCCGACUUCGUGAAGCUGGAUUCGCUAGUAAUCGCGCAUCAGCCAUGGCGCGGUGAAUACGUUCCCGGGCCUU
Molecule: ribosomal RNA, 378 nt
Filed under: uncultured Sphingobacteriales bacterium
Lineage: Bacteria; Pseudomonadati; Bacteroidota; Sphingobacteriia; Sphingobacteriales
Description: bacterial SSU rRNA
Rfam family: Bacterial small subunit ribosomal RNA
Source: RNAcentral